RNAcentral lists this ribosomal RNA (406 nucleotides) under uncultured bacterium. RNAcentral's name for it is "partial 16S ribosomal RNA". It matches the Rfam family "Bacterial small subunit ribosomal RNA", at positions 360 to 773 of the family's 1533-position model. The record is from RNAcentral.
AAUAUUGCGCAAUGGACGGAAGUCUGACGCAGCGACGCCGCGUGAGCGAUGAAGGCCUUCGGGUCGUAAAGCUCUGUCCUUGGGGAAGAAGGUCUUCGGACUUGACGGUACCCAAGAAGAAAGCCCCGGCUAACUACGUGCCAGCAGCCGCGGUAAUACGGAGGAUGCAAGCGUUAUCCGGAUUUAUUGGGUUUAAAGGGUCCGUAGGCGGGCAUAUAAGUCAGAGGUGAAAUCCGACAGCUUAACUGUCGAACUGCCUUUGAAACUGUAUGUCUUGAGUGAGAUUGAAGCAGCUGGAAUGUGUAGUGUAGCGGUGAAAUGCAUAGAUAUUACACAGAACACCGAUAGCGUAGGCAGGUUGCUAAGUCUUUACUGACGCUGAUGGACGAAAGCGUGGGGAGCAAAC